UGCCUCUUUAUUUUAAUUAGAAUAUUAUUGUAAAUGUAUUGAAUGUAUAAUUUCUAUGGUUAAAUCGAAUACUACUUUAGUAUGGAAUGCAUAUUUAAUUGCCUUACUUUGAAUAUUUUGUAUUGUGCAAGGUAACCUAUUUUCUAGGAAUAUGAUAAACUUGAGUAAUUGAAUUUGAUAGGAAAGAGGUAAAUAUCUACAUUUAAGGAUAAUAUCCUAUAUAAUUGUGACAGUUAGGAUAAAGAAGAGUCAUGUGGAGUAAUUAUUUAAGUAUUUUAAACUUUAGGAUAUAUAGUGUAAAGAGGCCAUGUAUAUGGCGUAACUUACCUUUUUAUUUAAUUACAAUGAUUGAAUAAUUUUUGUCUUAAACCUAUUUAGUUCUUACCAUAGAAAUUCAAAACAAAGAGAGAAAAUAGAAUGCUAAUAACAAUUUAAUACCAUAAAUAUAGAAACUUGUGCAGUUUUAGGGCAAAAAGAAGCAGAAAAAUAAAAACCUUAGAGCAUAUGAAAAAUAGUCCGAUCUAAAAAAUGGGAGACAAAAAAUCAAUAAUUUGAUUGGAAUAAAAAUAUUUAAGCAAGUCUUUUUUAUAACUUAAAUUUUACACCCACAUAAAUUAUAUUUAGUAAUAAAAAUUUAUCGUGGUUUAAAAUAAAGACAAAUCUCAAUUAAAAGUUAUCAAUAGCUAAUCUUUAAAUCCUUAAAUUAUUGUUUACCAUGAAGUCUUGGAAAUUAACUGGGGUUGAAUGCAGUCAAGGAGAAGAAAAAAAAAGAUUAAUAAAGGACAAAAGAAAAAAUGUUAUAAAUAGAACUCUAAUUAGAGUGAAUGUCUAUCUUAUAGAAGAGUUUUACUU
RNAcentral lists this long non-coding RNA (852 nucleotides) under Nicotiana benthamiana. Its description in RNAcentral is "long non-coding RNA (NBEN_LNC015643)". Lineage: Eukaryota; Viridiplantae; Streptophyta; Magnoliopsida; Solanales; Solanaceae. The record is from RNAcentral.